AAACAAAAAAAAAAAAAAAAAAAAAAAAAAAAAAAAAGAAAAGAAAAGAAAAAAAAAAAAAAAAAAACAAAACACAGCAGUUCCUGAAUAUUUUUCCUCUGGUUGGGAAAGCCAAGGACUGCCAUCAGGAAGGAAGACUUUUUGGCUUGUGCUGGCAUGAUGGUGGGAAGCAGGCAUCAGCUGAGCAGAGCGUCUCCAAAAACUGUCGACAAGUUUAGAUUUGUUUUGUUUUCUUUCAUUGCUGUUUCAGAGAAAAGGAAAAAAGAAAAAAAAAUUAAGGUAGUUGCCAAAAAAGUGGCAAAUACUGUUGGGUCUUUGAAAUUCAACCAUUUUUAACAACCAAUUUUCAAAUGUUUUGUCUCUCUUCUACAUUAUCUAGCAAUUGAACUUAUCAAUUUGGUUGUUGAAGCAUGUAUUAGACACAAAUGCAGGUUUUAAGACUGGAAUGCUUUUUAUUAAAAGCAACUAGCAUGAGAUAUUGCUUAAAUUGUUAGGUAUAAAUAUAUAUAUGUGUAUAAUGUAUAUUCCAAAUGUAUUCCAAGCUUAGAAACCGGAUUCCUAUGAAUUAUUGAGAAAAAUAUUUAUGAUGCAUUUAUAGAAAAAAGAAAACAAAUAUAUGUAAUAAAUGCAUACUCUAACAGUAGCCAUUGGAAGCUCCCUAGGGACAGAUUUGGGAAUUGGAACGUCAAAGGUGCUUUUGGAAAAGGAUCUAGGUUGAAACUCGAGGACUUGUCAGGCGACAGGUUGGGAAGUUUUUCAGAAAGCCAACACUUUAGCCACUGGGCAACUACCCUAAACAUUUGUAUUUUAAUUUAAGGUUUUUUGUUGUGAUCCUUUUCUAACAAACAUGAGAAAAAAAAAGAGUUUUUUAUAGCAAAGACGCUGAAUUUGCUGUUAAUUUUUAUAUGGAUAUUUCCCGAAACCCUCCGGAAGCCUUGUUUGUGUGACUCUGACAUUUCUUUUCCAUUUGGCAGGUUUCCUUUCUGAACGGCAGUAGCAUCUAAACCUUUCUUCUUCCCUCUUUUCUUGCUUAUAAUACAUGGGUUUUCCUUUUUUUUUCUUUUUUUUUUCCUCUGUAUUGUUUUCUCUCCUUUUCCUCAACUCUUUUGUACAGUGAGCAGCUUUCUGCAGGUGUAAGGAACUGUGGGCAGACCAACAGAGGUUGUUUUUUUCCGGGAAAGGGCGCAUUUUACCGAGGAGGAGGAUGAGGGACCGCGAUGGGCUCCUUUGUUGUACCGAUUCCGCCGACUGUAUAUUUCCUCAGCUCUCUUGUAGUAGCUCUGUAAAGAAAAUAAGGAAUUUUCUUACCUGGUAGUGUUCAGUGGGCAAUGCCUUUGUCCUGCCCGCGGCUCCUGGCGCUGCCUACCCUCGGGAAGGCUCCUUGGAUACUCCGGGACCGCCGGCGUUUUCUCUCCGCCGGACAUGCCCGCAAACUCCCCAGCUCCUCUCUCCCUCUUUUUCUCCCCUCUUCUUCUUCUUCUUCCUGAUGCUGGGAGGGGUUUUGGAGGCUUUAUUUUUUUUGCCCCCCGCCACCCCGAGGAGGUCAUUGCCUCCCGGGAAUGCCGGGUGGGAGAGGCCGCGAGCCCCGUCACGGAGAGCGGAGUGUCUUCACGAAGACGGCGCUCCCCGCGCGCCUUCCUCCAGCAGUGUAGGACAGCACAUCCCUCUUCCCAGCACAGCUUCUCCUUAACCACCCUUCCUUCAUUUAUCCUCUUCCCGUGGUGACUGGUGGGGUUGCUUCCAGUAACUUCUCUUCUUUCCAGUUUUCGAAGCAGCCGCUUUCGUUCCGUUCAGGACUCACUCGUGGGAGGAAUCGGGAGCAUGACCCCACGCUGGAGGCUUUUGUUUCCUUCCUCGAUUUCUAGCGCAGUUUCAGAACCAGACACUACAGUAUUUGAGUUGUGCAAACCCAAGUACAUCCUAAAACCCCAAAAAGCUCCAGUGGCAAGGCCUGUCCUUGGCAUAUCCUAAAAUUCCCCCCGUGCAAGAGCACUGUGUACCCGGGGAUGUUGUGGUUUGGGUUUUCUUCCAUCUGACCACGCUGCUGCUGUGAUCUCAAAUCCAUCCGACUGCCGAAUUUGGUGACAGGUGUGAGGUUUUGCUUCCUGUGCCAUGGGCAGUGCCUGUGUUUACACCUCCCUUUGUGCUGUCAGCUCUUCCCCGGAAGGUUUUUGACAUUUCUGCUCCCGGCUGUGGCAAUCCUUUUUCCUUCCUUUUUGCUCUCCUGGGAGCCGCCGGCUGACUGUGCUGAGCCGGUUCCUUUGGAAAAUCCAGAGGAGCUUGUUGGGAUGCCACCUUCCUUCCUUCCUUCAUUCCUUCCUUUCCAUCCUUUCCCUCAGCUUUUUGCCGGGAUGGGAAGAUUUUUCCCGAGAUGACAGAGCUCAUCUCCUCCAAACUCCCGGCAAUGUGGAUUUGUUUCGCAGCAUCCCCCUUUUCCCUGGGAACACUCUUCCCUGGGCUGUGACCGUCCCUGGGGAUGCUCUUCCCCGGGGAUGCUUUCCAGGGCCAGUGCAGGCACGGAGAGAAAGGAGAGAGCCCUUGUUUUGAGGCUCUCCAGGGGGAUUUUUCACCUUUUUGAGCCAUUAAGCUUCUUCAUUUCAGAUGACUUUGCCACGGGGGCGGCCAUGGCAGUGCGGUGGGAGCCCGGGAUGCUCCCACAUCCCGGCACGUGCUGCCCAGGGCAUCCUUUGUACCUGCUUGGGAAGAAAAGGAACAUCUUUCAAUCCUCUUUACAGUGAAGUGAGGCCCAGUUUGCAGUACACAAGUAACCAUUGGGGGUUUUUUGGUUGGUGUUUUUUUUUGUUUGGUUGAUUGUUUUUUUGUUGGGAUUUUUUUUUACUUUCGAUACAAAACAUUCCUUUUUUUUAUUAGUCACGGUCAUGUGCUCAUUCCAUUCUUCCUUUUGUAAACUUUUUUGGGCCCAUGUUCUUUUACGGGCAUUGAUAUAUAUAAAUAUAUAUAUAAAUAUAUAUGAAUAUAUUUUUUUAAGUUUCCUACACCUUGAGGUUGCAUGGUCUGUAAGGUUGGCAUGUCUUUAUAUUGUAUACAGAUUUUGCACGCCAAACUUGGCAGCUUUGAAAACGAUAAUGAGAAAAAGAAAACAAAAACAACAAAAAAAAAAAAAAAAGAGGGGGUUUGGGGUUUCUUUGGGUUGGUUUUUGUUUUGGUUUGGUUUUAUAUUGUUUUGGUUUUUUUUUUCCUCUCGUGGCAUUUGUGGAGACUAAAAGUGGUUGGGAUGUUGUUGUCACACACACUCACUCACCCACACAGCUACACACCAAGGAAGAAGAGUGGGAAUUCUUUUUUUUAUUUUUUUGGAGUCUUACUGAACUUAAUAAGAAGAAAUUGUGCUUUUUAUUGUUAAAAAGAGUAAAUAAAUAAAAAAAACAAAAAGGACUACUUAAACAUUUCUCAUUUUAAGAAGAAAAGAAAAAACUAAGACGUUUAUCUAGCACUUGUGACUUACCAAUAAUAGAGUUUAUUGUAUUUAUGUGGAAACAGUGUUUUUAGGGAAACUACGCCGAACACACCAAGUAAACUGCCUGUGUCAUUAUUAUUAUUGUUAUUAUUAUUAUUUUCCUUUGGGUUGGUGUUUUUGCUUUGAUUUCUCGGCUGGGUGGGGAGGUUGGAUGCAACCCUUGUGUCAACACACAGAGUCAUUCAUUCCGAGGAGCCGGAUGGAUGGAUGGAUGGAUGAGGAGGACUUUAAAGAGUUAACUCUUCAGCACAGCUGCGUUAACUUUUUUAAGAAAUUACUUUUACAUGAUGUAUUUUUGCUCGGUUUCACUUUAAGCAGUCGUGUACUGUGCAACACUGUGGUUUAAAAACGAGACUUUACAGCAAAAGGCAAAACGUGUUUCUUCAUUGUCAUGAAGUUGGGCUCGUUCUCAGCUCAUCUUCACUUUGUCUUUGAUAUUGAUGAUGAAAAAGAAAAAAGUAUCCUAUUGAAAGAAAAUAAAUUAACACUUUUUCUGUGCUCCAUAGUGGAGGCGCUAUUUUCCAAUUUAUGAGGAUGACAAACUGGGGAGGGGGGGGGAGGGGUUGAAACAUUAUUCACCCGAGAGCUUAUUACAGAUAUGUAGUAUCAAAAAGUUGUAACAAUAUUAUAUUCUACUUUAUACCUAUACAUGCUCAGUAUGACGUCACCAUUGGUAGCAGCUACCGGUUUACGCUGUAAUUUAGACACAAUUUCACUCUUCUUGUAUGGACCCUACUUUCAGUGAUGGUAGCAUUCUUUGUGCUCAACUUUCCAACGGUCCUUUCUUUUAAACUGGUGGAGUUGGAAUAUUUUUCUCAUUCUUGUUUUUUCUUUCUUUGUUUUUAUUUCAUUUUUAUUUCUUUUCUCUUUAUUUUGUUUGGGGUUUUGGUUUUUUUUUUUUCUUUUUUCUUUUUUUUUUUUUUUUUUACUGGCCAAUGGUGUCUUUCUCUGACAGUACCGACUUCAAUUUCAACUUUAUUAGGAGUCCAGUAUUUUGUACCACAUUAUGACAACUUGUUAUUCUUGUGGUGUAAAUAAAAGAAAAAAGUUAAUUAUAAGUGGGUUGGUGAUUGCUCUAGGACCAUGA
RNA transcript from Onychostruthus taczanowskii (white-rumped snowfinch), 4565 nucleotides. RefSeq lists it as uncharacterized. Lineage: Eukaryota; Metazoa; Chordata; Aves; Passeriformes; Passeridae. The record is from RefSeq and is a predicted model, not a curated record. The transcript is spliced from 2 exons.